This 203-nucleotide ribosomal RNA is filed under the name Salmonella enterica subsp. enterica serovar Kentucky. RNAcentral describes it as "partial 23S ribosomal RNA". It matches the Rfam family "Bacterial large subunit ribosomal RNA", at positions 375 to 580 of the family's 2925-position model. Lineage: Bacteria; Pseudomonadati; Pseudomonadota; Gammaproteobacteria; Enterobacterales; Enterobacteriaceae. The record is from RNAcentral.
GUACACAAAAGCGCAUGUGCUGUGAGCUCGAUGAGUAGGGCGGGACACGUGGUAUCCUGUCUGAAUAUGGGGGGACCAUCCUCCAAGGCUAAAUACUCCUGACUGACCGAUAGUGAACCAGUACCGUGAGGGAAAGGCGAAAAGAACCCCGGCGAGGGGAGUGAAAAAGAACCUGAAACCGUGUACGUACAAGCAGUGGGAGC